GACAGUAAACAGAAUAUAACUCGUAUAUUUUUGAGAAUAAGGCUCAAGCGUUUCUACCAGAUAACCGUAAAUUGUCUGACUACGAGUGAAAGUGUACCUAGG
Pelosinus fermentans B4 is the source of this 102-nucleotide non-coding RNA. Lineage: Bacteria; Bacillati; Bacillota; Negativicutes; Selenomonadales; Sporomusaceae. The record is from Rfam.